AGUGAACGCUGGCGGUAGGCCUAACACAUGCAAGUCGAACGGCAGCACAGUAAGAGCUUGCUCUUACGGGUGGCGAGUGGCGGACGGGUGAGGAAUACAUCGGAAUCUACUUUUUCGUGGGGGAUAACGUAGGGAAACUUACGCUAAUACCGCAUACGACCUACGGGUGAAAGCAGGGGAUCUUCGGACCUUGCGCGAUUGAAUGAGCCGAUGUCGGAUUAGCUAGUUGGCGGGGUAAAGGCCCACCAAGGCGACGAUCCGUGGCUGGUCUGAGAGGAUGAUCAGCCACACUGGAACUGAGACACGGUCCAGACUCCUACGGGAGGCAGCAGUGGGGAAUAUUGGACAAUGGGCGCAAGCCUGAUCCAGCCAUACCGCGUGGGUGAAGAAGGCCUUCGGGUUGUAAAGCCCUUUUGUUGGGAAAGAAAAGCGGCAGGUUAAUACCCCGCUGUUCUGACGGUACCCAAAGAAUAAGCACCGGCUAACUUCGUG
RNAcentral lists this ribosomal RNA (492 nucleotides) under uncultured bacterium. Its description in RNAcentral is "partial 16S ribosomal RNA". It matches the Rfam family "Bacterial small subunit ribosomal RNA", at positions 29 to 507 of the family's 1533-position model. The record is from RNAcentral.